AAAUAGCAGUGAUGAUUGAAUACACAGCUUUAAGCCAGUUCUGCUUCAGAAAAUUCUUGAUUGAUAGAGCUGUUAUUUACCCUGAGCUAUUA
Molecule: small nucleolar RNA, 92 nt
Filed under: Helianthus annuus (common sunflower)
Lineage: Eukaryota; Viridiplantae; Streptophyta; Magnoliopsida; Asterales; Asteraceae
Source: RNAcentral